CCCAUUUGGAUAGAAAUCCACGAACCAAGGACAACAUAAGAUACGAUCAAAUCAAAUCAAUUCCAAACAAACCCCACACCUGGAAUCAAUUUUUAGAAAACCAGCCCAUAGAAACUAACCUACAGACUCUCCAAUACCGCUUCAACAAACCACCCGUGGCAAAACCACUGCAUACCCAUCCCAACCUAAAUGUCUUUUUUCCAAUGUAAUUCAAAUUCUUUAUGUUAAAAGGUUGGACGAUGCAGGUUUUAUUUAUUUAACCAAUAAACAGAUGCAUGUGCCUUACUAUACGUCUGCUUGUUUCAGCAGGACUUUGUUGACUUGUAAGUGAUCUCUCUAACACCAUUUCUCUGUCCACUGCCUUUCUCCGUCUGCUUCUCAGUCUUCACUCUGAUCCCAGUAUAGUUUGUUCUUGUCUACAUCUUUCUUGCAUUUCACUUCUAUUUCCUUUCGCUCAUCUCUACACUCCUUUUGCUCUCUCUCUCUCUCUCAUCUGUUUCUCUAUUCUCUACUUCCAUUCAGUCAUAUUCUCAUUUUUCUUUGCUGUUAUCAUCAUUUCUUGUUCAAUUUUUCUUUUUUCCUGAGAGUUGAGUUUUUCUUUAAAAAAAAAAAAAAUCAAAAUGGUACUGGAUAUGUUUAUCUCCAUCUUCACCGAGAUCAUUAAAGAUCCCAUCAUGCAAUUCGUUGUCGUUCCUAUCAAACGACACAUUAGUUAUCCUUUCACCUACAAGACCAAGGUUGAGAGGCUCCAGGAUGAGGCUCAGCAAUUGAACAGCAAAAGAGACAGGUUGCAGCAAUCAGUUGCUGAUGCUUCAAGAAGAGGGGAGGAGAUCUACGAUGACGUCAGCAAGUGGCUUAUCAGUGCGGGAAAAGUUAUUCGAGAAGCCGAGCAACUUAUCCAAGCCAAAGAACAAGCGAAGGAGAGGUGCUUCAUUGGUUUGUGUCCCAAUUUGAAGACGCGCUACCACCUCAGCAAGAAAGCAGAAAAGAAAGCUUCGUUGAUUGGUAAGCUUCGGAAUCAGGAUGGACUUGAACCAAUUUCCCACCCUCAACCUCCAAAGCAGAAAGUGGCCCCAUCUGUAUAUGAUCGUGAGGAACUGCCUUCGAGGGUGUCAAUUUUGAAGGAAAUAAUGGAUUCGCUGAGAGAUCCUAAUCUUAACAUGAUCGGAGUGUAUGGAAUGGGAGGUGUGGGGAAGACCACCCUAGCAAAAGAGGUCCACAGGCAAGCUAUAGAAGAGAAGCUAUUCGACGAGGUGGUUAUGGUUGCAGUGAAUCAAACACCAGAACUCCGAAGAAUUCAAUCGGAGGUAGCUGAUGUCCUGGGCCUGGCAUUUGAUGUGGAGGGAAUACCUCGAAGAGCUAAUCAACUAUAUGAGAGGUUGAAGAAAGAGAAGAAGGUACUUAUAAUUCUAGAUGAUAUUUGGAAACAACUUGAUUUAAAGGCAGUAGGAAUUCCAUUUGGGGAUGUCUGCAGAGGAUGCAAAAUACUUUUAACCUCAAGGAGCCAAGAUGUAUUAUCUCGUGAGAUGCGCACACAAAAAGAAUUCAGGCUUGACGUUCUGCAGGACGAAGAGGCGUGGAGUCUGUUUGAAAUGACUCUGGCAGAUGCUAAAGAUUCAGAAUUGCCUCCCAUAGCCGCAGAAGUUGCUAAAAAAUGUGCAGGAUUGCCUCUUCUAUUACUCACAGUGGCGACAGACUUGCGAAAUAGAGAGUCAUACGCAUGGAAUGAUAAGCUGAAGCAGCUAUCUGUGUUUGACAAUGAAGAAAUAUAUGCAAAAGUACACUCAGUUCUGGAGUCAAGCUACAAUGAUUUGCCUGGUAAUGAAGUCAAGUCGUUUUUCUUACUUUGUGGUCUGUUAGGACUAUCUAAUAUUCCAAUCCGGUCCUUGCUGAAGUACGUCAUGGGUCUAAGUUUAUUCAAGCACAUUUCUACUGUCAAAGAAGCAAGAAACAAAGUUUAUACUUUGAUUGAUACCCUCAAAGCAAAAUGCUUAUUGAUAGACGGUGAUAAGUAUGGAUUUGUGAAAAUACAUGAUGUUGUUCGAGACACUGCUUUAUCGAUUGCAUCUAGAGAGCAACAUGCGUUUAUAGGUACAAGCGGCAGUGAGUUGAUGGAAUGGCCAAACAAGGAUUCCGCCAGAAUUUCUCUGCCUUAUUGUGAUAUUGAAGAUCUCCCUGAAGGGUGGGAGUGCCCAAAAGCAGAGCUACUAUUACUUUUCACUGAAGUUCUUUCUUUGGGAAUCCCAGACCUAUUUUUCAAGGGGAUUAGAAACCUCGAAGUAGUGGAUUUUACUGGGAUGCGUUUUGUGUCCCUUCCUUCUUCACUUGCUUUCCUAUCCAACCUUCAUACCCUUUGCUUGCAUCGAUGCCAACUGGAUGACAUAGCUAUCAUCGGAGUCUUGAAGCAACUACGAGUCCUUAGUUUUGCAAACUCCUACAUUGUUGAGUUGCCCAGACAAAUAGAGGAACUGACUCGACUAAAAUUGUUAGAUGUGAGCGAUUGUUCCAAACUCAAAAUGAUUCCUGCAAGUGCCUUAUCAAAGCUGUCCCAGCUAGAAGCACUGUAUAUGAGUAACAGCUUUGAUCGGUGGGAGGCCGAUGGGAUUAGAAAUCAAGGCAAUGCAAGCCUUGCUGAGUUGGAAGGGUUGUCUCACCUUAGAACUCUGGAAAUACAAGUUGUAGAUGCGAAGAUAAUACCAAAAGCCCUGUUCUUCAAUGGGUUGCAGAGGUAUAGAAUACUCAUAGGAGAUGUAUGGGGCUGGCAUGGAAACUUUGAAACUUCAAGAACUCUAAAACUCAAGCUCAAGACAAGUAGUUACUUGGAGCAUGGGAUUAGAGUGUUGUUGAGGGAGACUGAAGAUCUGUAUUUGGAUGAAGUGAGGGGUAUUGAAAAUGUAUUGUAUGAUAUUGAUGGAGAAGGCUUUCCACGGUUGAAGCACUUCCACUUCCAAAAUGAUGUUUUGAUUCAACGCAUUAUCAGCUCACCAAAAUGGGCUCCAUAUCCUGCCUUUCCCAUCCUAGAGUCCUUGUUUUUAGAAAAUUUAAUGAACCUGGAGACAAUUUGUCACGGUCAACUUGCACGAGGUUCAUUUAGCAAAUUAAGAACCUUAGAAGUUGGAAAAUGCCAAAGAUUAGAAGCUAUGAUAAUAGAUGAAAGUGAAUACAACAAUGAAGUGGUUGAGUUCAAUCAACUGCGCUCCUUGAAGCUAAAUGAUUUACCAAACCUCAGAAGCUUUUGCUGGAAAAGGAAGGUGGCUACAGGAACAGAAGCAAGACAAAAGCAAUUGACAGCCUGUCCACUUGAGGAAAUUGUGUCGGAGGAUGAGCUUGGUGCUGAAUUAUCACUUUUCAACAGAAUGGUUUCUUUUCCCAACUUGGAGGAAUUGCAAUUAACCUCAGUUGCUUGUGAAAGGAUAUGGAACGACCAACUUUCCGCAACAUGUUCAAACUUAACGAGUUUGACUGUGAAAAAUUGCAACAAUUUGAAGCAUUUAUUCACAACUUCAAUUGUUAAAUGUCUUUUGCAGCUUAAAAAACUUGAAAUAAGCGAUUGUGAUUCCAUGGAAGAGAUAUUACUGACAGAGGAACUAGUAGAAGAAGAAGAGGAAGAGAGGAUAAAUAAGACAGCCUUCUCAAAACUGGAGAGCCUUCACCUUAGUGAUCUUCCACACUUGUCUAGAUUCUGCACUGGGUAUUCAAUUGAAUUUCAGUGCCUUCAAGAAUUAACAAUAUCUGAGUGCAGCGCAUUGGUGACUUUCGUCGCCAAAACAGAGACGAACCAUAACACUGAAAUUCAACCACUGUUUGAUGAAAUGGUUUCUUUCUCUAAAUUGGAGGUAUUGAGCAUCCAAAGUAUGAACAACUUGAAAAAUAUAUGGCACAACCAACUGGCAGCUGAUUCCUUCUGCAAACUGAAAUCAUUGUCAAUUAAUCGAUGCUACACACUAAUGACUGUUUUUCCAUUGGCUGUCUUGGAAAGAUUCCAGAGAUUAGAGAACUUGAAUUUAUCCUCUUGUGAUUCAGUGCAAGAGAUAUAUCAACUUCAAGGGUACAAUGUUAAAGAAGUAAAUGUUGCUGCAGCAUUUGAGCUAAGAGAUUUGCGUAUAGAUGGUUGUCACUCAUUGAAGCAUAUAUGGAGUAAGGAUCCACAAGGAGUUUUCACUUUUCAAAAUUUGAAAUCAGUUGAAGUUUCAAAUUGUGAUGUUCUAAAAAAUCUUUUUCCAGCCUCCAUAGCCGAGGGUCUUUUGCAACUUGAAAAGCUUUCAAUAAUAGAAUGUGGGGUUGAGGAGAUUGUUGCAAAGCCAGAAGAUGUGGAACCAGCCCCUUAUUACUGUUUUAAGUUCCCUCAAUUAACCUCCCUUAAACUUAUUGAACUAUCAGAACUGAGGAGUUUCUAUCCAGGGACACAUAUUUCUGAGUGGCAAAAAUUGAAAUGUUUGGAAGUUCGUAAUUGUCGCAAAGUAAGGAAAUUUGGUCUGGAAGAAGUACAUGAAGAGGGCCAACACAGCAUUCCAAUUCAACAGCCCCUUCUAUUGUUGGAAAAGAUGAGUCCCAACUUGGAGGAAUUGACUUUGGAGCACAAGGACUUGAUCGCGAUACAACAUGGUCAAUUUUCAUUUCAGCACUUUUCUAAACUCAAAGUUCUUACUUUGAGCAACUUGCAGAAUAGAUCACAACUUUUUCUUAUUGGUUUCCUUAAAACAUUACAUUAUGUGGAGACAAUUGUUGUAGAAUCUGGUAAUUUAGAAGAGCUGUUCUCAUGUGAAGGAUUUACAUUGGUGAAAAAUUUAAAGCUAUCCACUGUUGAUAAUUUGAAGCAGAUAUGGGACGAAGACUCCAGACUGAAACCAGUUCUUCAGCAUCUUGAGACUCUGAGUGUAAACGGUUGUAACAGUUUGACCAACAUAGUACCAUCGUCAUCAUCUUUCCCAAAUCUAGCAACUCUUGAAGUGAGUUACUGUGAAGGAUUGGUAAACUUGAUAACAGCGUCUACAGCCAAGACUAUGGUGCAACUAACCAAAAUGACAGUACAUAGUUGCAAUAAGAUGACAGAAAUAGUGACAAGCGAUGGAGAUGAUCAUACAGAGGAUGAGAUUAUUUUCAGCAAACUACAAAUUUUGGAACUUACUUAUCUGUCUAGUCUUAUCAGCUUUUGCUCAGGGAAUCACGCCUUCAAUUUCCCAUCUUUAGAAAAUUUUAAAGUUAAUGAAUGCUUACAGAUGAAGAUUUUCUCUUUCGGAGUUCUAAACACACCAAAGUUACGAGGAAUAGAAUUGGCAAAUCAACAGCACUGGGAGGGAAACCUUAAUGCAACCAUAGAAUCUAGCCUAUCGAUGACAUAUUUUCAAGCAUCUAAAUUCCCUGAGCUCUGGCAUGGUGGAAUCCAAGGGAGACUCUUCCACAAUGUACAAUCGCUUACAGUGGAUCAAUGUGCAAUUUCUGAUAUACCUGUACCAGCCAAUCUACUACAGUUCUUAAACAAGUUGGAAAAGCUUCAAGUAGAAUACUGUGAUUCAGCAGAAAUAGUAUUUGAUUUGGAAGGGCUAUCUGUUGAUGAUGGGCACACUGAGCUACUUCCCCAACUAAGUAAAUUGCACUUAGCAAAUCUGCCAAUGUUGAGACAUUUAUGGAACAAGGAUCCUCUGGGAAUUUUAGAAUUCAAUAACCUAAGGUUGCUCCAUGUUGAAAAUUGUAACAGCUUGAAGAAUAUAUUUACUUGGUCGACAGCGUUGUGCCUUAUGCAACUUGAAGAGAUUAAGUUAAGAAAAAUGUAACACAAUUGAAGAAAUUAUAGAAAAGGAGGGACCAGAGGAAGCAACUUCUUCCGCUGAUAAGAUGAUACUUCCUUCGUUGAAAUUCGUAGACCUUGAAUGUUUGCCUAAAUUUUCAAGUUUCUAUUCAGGAUCGAGUAAUUUGGAAUGUCUAUCAUUGAAAAAGUUGAGCAUAUAUGAAUGUCCAAGCAUGAAGAAUGUCUUUGGCACACUCGUGAGGUUACAUAGACCCAACACCAAUGAUGAAGGGAGAGAGCAAAGGCUAGACAAUGAAGGGUUUGAUACUCCCCUUACAACACCUUUUUGUCAUAAGAUGUUUCCCAUUUUGGAAGAGUUGUCAUUAGACAAGAAGUCUGCCAUAACCAUACUGCAAUCUCAAUUUCCAACUGACUUCUUUUCCCAAGUGAAAGUUCUUCAAUUGCGUUGCUUUCCAAACAAAUCUCUUGUUCCUUUGUUUAGUUUACUUCCAGGAUUUCCCAAUCUGCAAAAUCUUGUAGUCCUUGAUUCUUCUCUCAAGCAGCUAUUUCCAUUUGAAGGAUUCGUCGGUGACCAAGAAGAUAUCACUGCAUUGCCGCGGAUAAGGGCUUUAAAGCUUAAAAAAGUUGAUGAUUUGAAGCAUAUGUGGGAACCAGAUUGCCAACCGCAUAACCCAGUAUUUCAGUCUCUUGAGACUCUUGAGAUAGAGUCUUGUGGAAAUUUUAUUUUUUUAGCACCAUCCUCUACGUCUUUCCGAAGUCUGAAAACUCUGAAAGUAUGUAGAUGCGACACAUUGAUAAAUAUUGUUACAUCUUCCACAGCCAAAAGUAUGGUACAACUUGAGACAUUGACUGUAAAAUCCUGCAAUAUGUUGACCGAAAUAGUAGGAGGCGAUCAAGGGGUCGGAAUUGGAUCAACAGAUGAGAUUGUUUUCAGCAAAAUGAAAACAUUACAACUUGAAGAUUUACAGAGCCUCACAAGCUUCUGUUUGGGCAGUUACACUCUCAAAUUCCCAUCUUUGGAACAAGUAAUUGUGGAAAAUUGCCCCGAAAUGAUGAUAUUCUCUCCUGGAAGUUUGAGCACACCAAAUCUAAAGGGAAUACAGUCGUCAAAAAGUUCUUCUGAAUCAGAUUUACGUUGGGCGGGCAAUCUAAAUGACACCAUAGAACAGAUGUACAUGGAAAUGGUUGGAUUUCAAAGAUUUUUUGAGUUGAACCUCUCUGAAUUUCCACGGCUGAAAGAAAAUUGGCAUAGGCAUAGCCCACUUCCAUUUGAAUUACUCAUUCAUUUAGGAGAAUUGACGGUGGAAAACUGCGAACUUUUCUCAUGUGCUAUAUCAUCGAAUGUAGUGAAGUUUCUGAACAAAUUGACACACUUGAUUGUGAAAAAAUGCGACUUAAUAGAAGAAGUAUUUGAUUUGGAAGGCCAAAACGCUGAAGAUGGGAAAGUCGGGCUGAUGUCGCAGUUACAGACAUUGGAUUUAAUUGAUCUACCAAGGUUGAGGCAUUUAUGGAGCAUAGAUGCCCAAAGAAUUUUGUGCUUUCAAAAUCUAAAGUUUUUAGAAAUUCAUAACUGUGGCAACUUGACAAAUAUAUUUACUCUUUCGAUGGCUAUGGGGCUUGUAAGUCUACAUGAGAUGAAAAUAAAGGGGUGUGCUUUGGUAGAAGAAAUCAUCACAAAAGAAGAAGAGCAGGAAGAAGGCUGGAAUAAAACUAUCUUCCCUUCUUUAUCCCUCAUUGUUCUUAAGCGUUUGCCUAGCCUACAAUGUUUUUAUUCAGGAAGUGACGUUUUGGAAUGUCCGUCCUUGGAAGAUAUAUCUGUAGUUGACUGUCCAAAGAUGAAGAUACUUGCUUCCACAUUUUCAAGAGAACAAGAUUCAAGCAUGAAUGUAGAGGAAAACAAAGAAAGAAUUUGCGAAGGAGAUUCUGAUUUGCCUGCACCACACGUUUUCAAUGGCAAGGUUGCAGUCCAAAGGUUACACACACUGAGGGUGGCAUGGAGCGAGUUGAUGGAGAUAUGGUGUCACAAAUUUCAAUCUAAGUCCUUUCAUAAGCUUGGUUACAUUAAGCUGACGUGCUUUCCUGGCGAAAGUGCAAUUUUAUCAUCUGAUUUUUUUCAAAGGUUACCCAAUCUAAGGACACUUGCUCUUUCUGAUUCUUUAAUUGAAGAAAUAUUCCUGCACCAAGUGAGAACUGAUGAGCAUAGAUAUCUUGCGUUCCUAAAGCUUUCUAAACUACCAAAGCUCAAGCACUUGGCGGAGAAUGACUACUCGCAAACAAUCUCAGCAUUUCAAUUUUUGAAAGAUUUAAUAGUAGUAGAAUGUGGCGGGCUGAAAGUUUUAGUCCCAUCCUCAAUAUCUUUCCCAAAUCUGACAACUCUAACAAUAUCAAAAUGUCAUGGAUUAGUAAAUUUGAUGCCUCUGUCAACAGCUAGAAGUCUGGGGCAACUCCAAAGAAUGAGUGUAUACGAAUGCGAAAUGCUACAACAAAUAGUAGCGAGUGAGGGAGAUGGAGUAGAAGACGAGAUUUGUUUCAGUAUACUACAAUAUUUGAAUCUUGAUCGUUUACCAUGCCUCGCAAGCUUCUGCUCUGGUAAUCAUGCCUUCAAUUUCCCAUCUUUGGAAACAAUGAUUGUUACAGAAUGCCCCAAGAUGAAGUUUUUUGCUCAAGGAGUGUUAAGCACACCAAAGCUUCUACAAGUACAAAAAAAAUGGGGUCAUUUGGGGGAUAAUUGGCGUUGGGAAGGCAACCUUAACGACACAAUACAAGAGCUAUUCAUGGAAAUGGGUGAUAAAUAAAAAUGAGGGCAAGCUUUCUUUUGCAAAAAUUGGAUUGGAAUGAGGCUGAUGCUGCAGUUAGAUGCCUUUCGUUCGUGCAAUUGUUUCAUGGAUUUGAGAUUUAAAUAGCUAGAGGGCCAUAUGUUCAUGAAUUUCUACAGCCAUGUAUAUUUUUCCAAACUGUUGUGUUCCCACUUUCAGAGUGUAAUGUUUGGAUCUGUGAGGGAUUCUAUAGCGUAAAUAAUUGAGCAAGACGACUGAGUAAUCUGAAUAUAUUCACCAUGUGAAUCUUUGUAUGUAAUGAAUAAGGGUAAACACUAGAUAUGGAGUGCUUGAUUCAAAUUCUAGUAGUUUGAUUAAACCAUUUUCAUACGUUCAUAUUGGGAAUUAAAAAUGCCAAAUUUAUAGGCAAAAUUGUUUAAUUUUAAUAUUAUUUUAAUGAAUUCACUUUUG
Molecule: unclassified non-coding RNA, 8976 nt
Filed under: Hevea brasiliensis (rubber tree)
Lineage: Eukaryota; Viridiplantae; Streptophyta; Magnoliopsida; Malpighiales; Euphorbiaceae
Source: RNAcentral